GGGACGAACGCUGGCGGCGUGCUUAACACAUGCAAGUCGAGCGGUAAGGCCCUUUCGGGGGUACACGAGCGGCGAACGGGUGAGUAACACGUGAGCAAUCUGCCCUUCACUUCGGGAUAAGCCUCGGAAACGGGGUCUAAUACCGGAUAUGACCGCGCUACGCAUGUGGUGUGGUGGAAAGUUCUGGCGGUGGAGGAUGAGCUCGCGGCCUAUCAGCUUGUUGGUGGGGUAAUGGCCUACCAAGGCGACGACGGGUAGCCGACCUGAGAGGGUGACGGCCACACUGGGACUGAGACACGGCCCAGACUCCUACGGGAGGCAGCAGUGGGGAAUAUUGCACAAUGGGCGAAAGCCUGAUGCAGCGACGCCGCGUGAGGGAUGAAGGCCUGGGUUGUAAACCUCUUCAGCAGGACGAAGCGCAAGUGACGGUACCUGCAGAAGAAGCAACCGGCUAACUACGUGCCAGCAGCCGC
This 473-nucleotide ribosomal RNA is filed under the name uncultured soil bacterium. Its description in RNAcentral is "bacterial SSU rRNA". It matches the Rfam family "Bacterial small subunit ribosomal RNA", at positions 27 to 518 of the family's 1533-position model. The record is from RNAcentral.